RNAcentral lists this ribosomal RNA (421 nucleotides) under uncultured bacterium. Its description in RNAcentral is "partial 16S ribosomal RNA". It matches the Rfam family "Bacterial small subunit ribosomal RNA", at positions 360 to 774 of the family's 1533-position model. The record is from RNAcentral.
AAUUUUGGACAAUGGGGGAAACCCUGAUCCAGCCAUCCCGCGUGUAUGAUGAAGGCCUUCGGGUUGUAAAGUACUUUUGGCAGAGAAGAAAAGGUAUCUCCUAAUACGAGAUACUGCUGACGGUAUCUGCAGAAUAAGCACCGGCUAACUACGUGCCAGCAGCCGCGGUAAUACGUAGGGUGCAAGCGUUAAUCGGAAUUACUGGGCGUAAAGCGUUGGAAGGCGGUUCGGAAAGAAAAAUGUAAAACCCCAGGGCUAAACUUUGAAACGGAAUUUUAAACGGCGGGGCAGGAGAAUGUAAGAGGGGGGUGAAUUCCCACGUGUGGCGUGGAAUGCCUUAAUAAGUUGAGGGAUUCCGAUUGCCGAGGCAGCCCCCCUGGAUAAUACUGACGCUCAGAACCCAAAGGCUGGGGAGCAAACA